UGGGGAAUAUUGCACAAUGGGGGAAACCCUGAUGCAGCAACGCCGCGUGAAGGAAGAAGGCCUUUGGGUCGUAAACUUCUGUUCUGAGGGAAGAAGAAAGUGACGGUACCUCAGGAGAAAGCCCCGGCUAACUACGUGCCAGCAGCCGCGGUAAUACGUAGGGGGCGAGCGUUGUCCGGAAUUAUUGGGCGUAAAGAGUACGUAGGCGGUUUGCUAAGCGCAAGGUGAAAGGCAGUGGCUUAACCAUUGUAAGCCUUGCGAACUGGCAGACUUGAGUGCAGGAGAGGAAAGCGGAAUUCCUAGUGUAGCGGUGAAAUGCGUAGAUAUUAGGAGGAACACCGGUGGCGAAGGCGGCUUUCUGGACUGUAACUGACGCUGAGGUACGAAAGCGUGGGGAGCAAACA
Molecule: ribosomal RNA, 404 nt
Filed under: uncultured bacterium
Lineage: Bacteria
Description: bacterial SSU rRNA
Rfam family: Bacterial small subunit ribosomal RNA
Source: RNAcentral